Long non-coding RNA from Sander lucioperca (pikeperch), 338 nucleotides. RefSeq lists it as uncharacterized. The record is from RefSeq and is a predicted model, not a curated record. The transcript is spliced from 2 exons. NCBI's taxonomy places the organism in Eukaryota, Metazoa, Chordata, Actinopteri, Perciformes, Percidae.
GUUGUGAAAAAUGUACUUGGCUAUAAGAUUCCUUUUGUAUGCACUGUCUUGUACUUGGGUCAUAUUUCACUUGUAACAGUACAGAGGGACAGAAACUGGUAGCCUGAUUGUCCUAAACGGCAACAAUGGUUUGAGGUCAUACAUGAAAUAAGGGCAAUGGAAAGGCUGACUUUUGUGCUGGGUUUGAGAGAAGGUUAAUAUGCCAAAAGAUGGCAGAAGUGGACAUUUUACUUAAAUAAAGCAUAAGGACAUUGGUUCACAGCUUGGACUCAUUAGUGGAUAAAGCAGCGACUUGAAAUGUAUACAUUUUAUUUCUAUUUUUGUGGCUAUCAUCACCU